UUAAUUGAAGAGUUUGAUCAUGGCUCAGAUUGAACGCUGGCGGCAGGCCUAACACAUGCAAGUCGAGCGGCAGCGACAUCAACAAUCCUUCGGGUGCGUUGAUGGGCGGCGAGCGGCGGACGGGUGAGUAAUGCCUGGGAACAUGCCUUAGUGUGGGGGAUAACCAUUGGAAACGAUGGCUAAUACCGCAUAAUCUCUACGGAGCAAAGAGGGGGACCUUCGGGCCUCUCGCGCUAAGAUUGGCCCAGGUGGGAUUAGCUAGUAGGUGGGGUAACGGCUCACCUAGGCGACGAUCCCUAGCUGGUCUGAGAGGAUGAUCAGCCACACUGGAACUGAGACACGGUCCAGACUCCUACGGGAGGCAGCAGUGGGGAAUAUUGCACAAUGGGGGAAACCCUGAUGCAGCCAUGCCGCGUGUGUGAAGAAGGCCUUCGGGUUGUAAAGCACUUUCAGUAGGGAGGAAGGUGUUGUCGUUAAUAGCGGCAGCAUUUGACGUUACCUACAGAAGAAGCACCGGCUAACUCCGUGCCAGCAGCCGCGGUAAUACGGAGGGUGCGAGCGUUAAUCGGAAUUACUGGGCGUAAAGCGCAUGCAGGUGGCUUGUUAAGCCAGAUGUGAAAGCCCGGGGCUUAACCUCGGAAUAGCAUUUGGAACUGGCA
Molecule: ribosomal RNA, 659 nt
Filed under: Photobacterium aphoticum
Lineage: Bacteria; Pseudomonadati; Pseudomonadota; Gammaproteobacteria; Vibrionales; Vibrionaceae
Description: bacterial SSU rRNA
Rfam family: Bacterial small subunit ribosomal RNA
Source: RNAcentral